UUUAAGGGUUGGCAGUGAAAGUAAGGAUUUCUUGCCAGAGAUCCCUGCAUACCUGAGGCAUUCUGAAGCUCAGUUCUGCGUGUUUACCCCCAGCUGCUUGUUCUUUAGCAAGGAGACUGAUACUAUUUAUGUACUAGAAGCUGGAAGACCCUAACUGAAGAAGGAAGAACCAGUGUGGAUGAACUCUUGCCAGUACUGAGUAUUCCAAUUGCACUACUGGAGCACAGAUUUCCCCAUAAAAUGAGAAGAAAAUGGGAAAAUUAUUGUGUGUGUAGUCAGCCCCUUGGAGAACUGUACGUAUAAUUUUCAGCUCCCCUUUGAAACUCGAGAAGCCUUCAGUAACCUGGUGUCCGAAGAGUGGUACGUGUAUUGCACUGGCUGACUCAGCUGAACCUGGAGAGUGCUGUGGAGCCCAACCAAGCUGGGGCUGCGUCCUGCCUCUCUUCUCUUCAUGUCCUUCUGGUGAUUGUAUGUAAAUAUAACUUGCUGCAGUGUUCAAUAGGCAGUGUCACCUUCAGUUGAGCCCUUAAUGCAGGAUUGACCGCUCCUGAGUAGCAGAACGCGCAGAGUGGCUGCCAGCCGGUCCUCUGUAUCCAUUCGUAGUCUAAUCUCUGUUCUGGACAUAGAAGAAUAUGCGUGAAAUGAAUAUUAUAGUCUAACGUUGGAAGUAAAGGUGCCAUCAAGGGACCAUUCCUGUCAAAGGAAGACUCUUCAUCUUAAUGAUUGCCUAUCUAACGAGUUACGAACCUCUUUAAAGUGAAUCUAAAGAAUUAAGCGCGGUGCAGGACAAAGUCACAGUCUUGUUAAAUAAUAAUUAAAAAAAGGUUAUAAAAGAAUAUGUUAGCACCUGUCAUUUAAAAAAAAUGAUGAAUUCUGAACUUAAGGCUGUCGUGAAUAAGACAGAAAUUCAGCCUUCUGAGAAAUGCUGCAGGGGAUUUCUUUUAAUAAGACCUGGAAAGUAGGCCUUGGGCAUAAGACCACAGUAGAGAGACUUGAAAGCCUCGAGCCAGCCUUCUCUUUCACCAUUGCAAUUUGACCCAGCUAUUGCAUUUAAUCACCACGUAUGAGGUAGCUGCUGCCUCCCAUCCCUCAGGUACCUGUCUGGAAAUUCAGUAAUUUGAGAAGUUUCAGCUCUUUCCCAUCAUAGCUGGGUGGAAAAUUUCAGCUGAAGUCCUUUCUCAAACUUUUGAAAUGAAAAUAAGACACUUAAAUGGGAACCUCCCUUCCCAGUUGUGCGUUGAUGGCAUUUGAAAGGGAAGCAGGUUUCAGUGCAGUGAGAUGCCUGAGGGAAGGCAGGUAACAUCUGAUUUGCAGUGAACCCAGACAUGCAGGAAUCUGAUACCUUCCUCUCGCAACAAAACUGAGGAAGUUUCAUGCCAGUGGGAGCUGGAAGUGCUUCGCCUUGUGUGAACAGUUUCAUCAGUUACGCCUGCACAGAGCACUGCAGGAAGGGGCCUGGUGGUUACAGUGGGGCUGAAGAUGAAACUACAGUGUGGUCCAUAGCAAAUAAGGCAAACCACAUACCAAGGUGCACUGGGAGGGGUGAAGUCAGCAGAUAAGAAGACAGUUAUGUCCAUUCUGGCUUUGUUCUUGUUCUGGGAGAAUCAGUGUUGCUGUAAUGACUUUUUUGUUUUGAGUACAAAUGUGUGUAUUAUAUCUGAUUCUGGGUGUGUUUACCUGCAUUAGCUCACCUGCAGUACUUAGCUGGAGCUAAAUACCUGAGUUAGAGAACACUUCAGCUUUGCUUGAAUGAGAUGUAUGGAUUAUUGAAGAAUGGGCUUCCAAAGCACAUGCCAGCCACCUUCAGUAUUCUGCCAUACUGAUGAAGAAAAGCCUGGAUCAACGCUUGUCAAGAUAGCAGCGGUAGCAGAGGAGUGUUGGAGCUGAUCCUCCUUUGGAUUAGGGAAAUUGUAAAGCCGAUCUCCGUGGGUACCUUGCUGUUUUCUGUUCAAGGGAUUUCUGAGCCCUCAGUAAAACGUAGCAAUGAUAUUUCGAACUGCUUUUCUGUCUGCCAUCAGUUCUAGUGCUGAGGCCCUUCCAAGUACUGAAGAAUGGCGAUGUGACCUGCUGUAGUUUUUUGUGGAAUUGACUGAACUGAGUCACCCAGCUAUUUGGGAGUUAGAACUGUGACCAACAGGUGUACCAUUGGCUUUGAUGUGCUCUUGGUUGUUUAAAAUGGGAUCCUCUGAAAAAAGUUGCAGGUUCUUUUACCUCCUACAAAACUCUUACUAACAGGAAUAACUUUUGAGUACACAGUUUGUUUUGAGAGUCAAUAAUGUCACCCUGCAUGUUGUUCUCAAGCAAGCAGAAGACAUGUGAAAAUAUUAAAUUUCAGAUUGUAUAAGCACCCCCUGCCUAAAGUAUUACAGAAAAUUAAAAAAAAAGAAAACCCAAAACAUUGUAUGUUGCAUUACUGUCUUGAUUUCAGGCUCUGGAAAAUUAUAAGACUUGCAACUGCAGAAAAUGUGCAGCCCUGCAGACAAUCUUGAUGUAUUAAAAAGUUCAUGGAUACAGACAGGCUCUGCGUGAGCCUUCAAAACAAAACCAAAGGACUUGAGUCCAGGUUUGGCUGGGUAACUGGUUAAUCACCAUUGGGAAAUCAUUGCUUAAUUCCAGUAUGCAGGGUAGUACUUCAGAAGGUAGAAACGUGUUCAAAGGGGGAUUUCUUUCUUUGUUUGCAGUUCCGUUAUGGGGCAAUGCAUUCAGAAAGCAAUCCUGACAUUCUUUUUUUUUUUUUUUCAUUCUGGGUUUUGUCCUUUGUCCAUGAUGAU
This is a long non-coding RNA of Lagopus muta (rock ptarmigan), 2771 nucleotides long. RefSeq lists it as uncharacterized. NCBI's taxonomy places the organism in Eukaryota, Metazoa, Chordata, Aves, Galliformes, Phasianidae. The transcript has 3 exons. The record is from RefSeq and is a predicted model, not a curated record.